This 253-nucleotide ribosomal RNA is filed under the name uncultured bacterium. RNAcentral describes it as "partial 16S ribosomal RNA". It matches the Rfam family "Bacterial small subunit ribosomal RNA", at positions 524 to 776 of the family's 1533-position model. The record is from RNAcentral.
UACGUAGGGGGCAAGCGUUAUCCGGAUUUACUGGGUGUAAAGGGGGCGCAGACGGCAGCGCAAGCCAGGAGUGAAAGCCCGGGGCCCAACCCCGGGACUGCUCUUGGAACUGCGCGGCUGGAGUGCAGGAGGGGCAGGCGGAAUUCCUGGUGUAGCGGUGAAAUGCGUAGAUAUCAGGAGGAACACCGGUGGCGAAGGCGGCCUGCUGGACUGCGACUGACGUUGAGGCCCGAAAGCGUGGGGAGCAGACAGG